This 84-nucleotide transfer RNA is filed under the name Tigriopus californicus. RNAcentral describes it as "tRNA-Leu for anticodon UAA". It matches the Rfam family "tRNA". Rfam says of the family: Transfer RNA (tRNA) molecules are approximately 80 nucleotides in length. Their secondary structure includes four short double-helical elements and three loops (D, anti-codon, and T loops). Further hydrogen bonds mediate the characteristic L-shaped molecular structure. tRNAs have two regions of fundamental functional importance: the anti-codon, which is responsible for specific mRNA codon recognition, and the 3' end, to which the tRNAs corresponding amino acid is attached (by aminoacyl-tRNA synthetases). tRNAs cope with the degeneracy of the genetic code in two manners: having more than one tRNA (with a specific anti-codon) for a particular amino acid; and 'wobble' base-pairing, i.e. permitting non-standard base-pairing at the 3rd anti-codon position. The record is from Rfam by way of RNAcentral. Lineage: Eukaryota; Metazoa; Arthropoda; Copepoda; Harpacticoida; Harpacticidae.
GUCAAGUUGGCCGAGCGGUCUAAGGCGCCAGAUUUAAGCUCUGGUACACGUACGUGUGCGUGGGUUCGAACCCCACACUUGACA